AUUGUCAAUCAAUGUUUCUUAUAUAUACCACAAUUGUCUUCAGUACACAUGCAUACACCCAAGCUUGGCAUGAUACAUGCAAUAUUGAAAACAAUAUGGCAAAGGAAUAUGCAAUUCUUAUAGUCCUUAUUAGCAUGGUACUUGUGGUCUCCUGCAAUGUUGUGGACGGUAGUGCAGCAGACAUGAGGCAUGCAACGCUUCCACGCAAAGGUCUAAAGGAAGACAUCAAGCUCGCCAUCAAUGGAGUGAAUUCUCCGGUUAGCAGUAUAUCUGGACAGGCAUCUAGCAACUCUGAAACCGGCACAGACAACGAUAUGUCAAGCGCUACAGCCUUUACCUCAAAGGUGACCACUACCCAAGGUAGCCACCGUGGCUACGAGAUCCACGGGUUCCAAGGCAGUAAGAUCAGCCCCCCAUGAUGAUCGAGUGAUUCAUAUUAGGGCAAUCAAAUCAUCAGUUAUUAAUGAACAAUAGGUAUCUAUAAGGGAACCAACUAUCAAAACAACAUAUCUAAUAAUCAUAUGUUGUACUUGUGUGGAUGUGUGUAGUACCAAGUUGUGUAUUACAAGUUGUACUACAGUGUGAUGGCGUUUUCCAUGUGGUAUAGCAUAACUAUGAAGCUUUGGAUUCUCAGUAGUUUCCAAAGCACAUGUUUAUGAUACACAUGUAUUGAACUGCUAGUACAAAUAAAGUCGAUGUCUAUCAAUACUUAAUCCUAUCUUAUAUGUGAAAUAUCCAAUAAAAUA
Molecule: long non-coding RNA, 746 nt
Organism: Zea mays
Lineage: Eukaryota; Viridiplantae; Streptophyta; Magnoliopsida; Poales; Poaceae
Exons: 2
Source: RefSeq, a predicted model, not a curated record